Molecule: long non-coding RNA, 372 nt
Organism: Bactrocera latifrons
Lineage: Eukaryota; Metazoa; Arthropoda; Insecta; Diptera; Tephritidae
Exons: 3
Source: RefSeq, a predicted model, not a curated record
UAAAGAGGCUGAGGAAAGUGAGAGCCCAAAUUGUGAUCGAUUCGUUUYAUAUAAUAAUCAUUAUAUCGUUCGUUCUCGUUAAAUAAAAAGUCACAGUAUCGUAAAAAAAUCAUGGAGUUGCUGGAGAAGGCUUCAACUUUAAAGAUUCGUUUAACGAUGGUGUUUUAAAUGAAAUCUUUACUUCACACAAAAUUUUUAAAAAGCUCUAUUCUUGAUCCCAAUAGUCAAGUUGAAUACCCGAAAGCUCACUCAUUACAAUACUUGCAAAGUUCCAGCCAUGAGCUAUUAUAUCUACGAAAGCUUGAAUAAAGCAUACACAUAUGUACAUAGGAAAUAUGUUAUAUACCUCAAGCGCAUGCUAUUAUUGCAGUU